This 884-nucleotide ribosomal RNA is filed under the name Limosilactobacillus fermentum. RNAcentral describes it as "bacterial SSU rRNA". It matches the Rfam family "Bacterial small subunit ribosomal RNA", at positions 576 to 1459 of the family's 1533-position model. The record is from RNAcentral. Lineage: Bacteria; Bacillati; Bacillota; Bacilli; Lactobacillales; Lactobacillaceae.
CGGUUUUCUAAGUCUGAUGUGAAAGCUUUCGGCUUAACCGGAGAAGUGCAUCGGAAACUGGAUAACUUGAGUGCAGAAGAGGGUAGUGGAACUCCAUGUGUAGCGGUGGAAUGCGUAGAUAUAUGGAAGAACACCAGUGGCGAAGGCGGCUACCUGGUCUGCAACUGACGCUGAGACUCGAAAGCAUGGGUAGCGAACAGGAUUAGAUACCCUGGUAGUCCAUGCCGUAAACGAUGAGUGCUAGGUGUUGGAGGGUUUCCGCCCUUCAGUGCCGGAGCUAACGCAUUAAGCACUCCGCCUGGGGAGUACGACCGCAAGGUUGAAACUCAAAGGAAUUGACGGGGGCCCGCACAAGCGGUGGAGCAUGUGGUUUAAUUCGAAGCUACGCGAAGAACCUUACCAGGUCUUGACAUCUUGCGCCAACCCUAGAGAUAGGGCGUUUCCUUCGGGAACGCAAUGACAGGUGGUGCAUGGUCGUCGUCAGCUCGUGUCGUGAGAUGUUGGGUUAAGUCCCGCAACGAGCGCAACCCUUGUUACUAGUUGCCAGCAUUAAGUUGGGCACUCUAGUGAGACUGCCGGUGACAAACCGGAGGAAGGUGGGGACGACGUCAGAUCAUCAUGCCCCUUAUGACCUGGGCUACACACGUGCUACAAUGGACGGUACAACGAGUCGCGAACUCGCGAGGGCAAGCAAAUCUCUUAAAACCGUUCUCAGUUCGGACUGCAGGCUGCAACUCGCCUGCACGAAGUCGGAAUCGCUAGUAAUCGCGGAUCAGCAUGCCGCGGUGAAUACGUUCCCGGGCCUUGUACACACCGCCCGUCACACCAUGAGAGUUUGUAACACCCAAAGUCGGUGGGGUAACCUUUUAGGAGCCAGCCGCUAA